UGUUGNGGGAUACAGGNAGGCAUUUAACGUGCAAGUCGAGCGGAAACGAUGGGAGCUUGCUCCCAGGCGUCCAGCGGCGGACGGGUGAGUAACGCGUAGGAAUCUACCCAGUAGUGGGGGAUAGCCCGGGGAAACUCGGAUUAAUACCGCAUACGCCCUACGGGGGAAAGGCCGGGAUCUUCGGACCGGUCGCUAUUGGAUGAGCCUGCGUUGGAUUAGCUAGUUGGUAGGGUAAAGGCCUACCAAGGCGACGAUCCAUAGCUGGUCUGAGAGGAUGAUCAGCCUCACUGGAACUGAGACACGGUCCAGACUCCUACGGGAGGCAGCAGUGGGGAAUAUUGGACAAUGGGCGCAAGCCUGAUCCAGCCAUGCCGCGUGUGUGAAGAAGGCUCUAGGGUUGUGAAGCACU
This 409-nucleotide ribosomal RNA is filed under the name uncultured Gammaproteobacteria bacterium. Its description in RNAcentral is "bacterial SSU rRNA". It matches the Rfam family "Bacterial small subunit ribosomal RNA", at positions 37 to 434 of the family's 1533-position model. Lineage: Bacteria; Pseudomonadati; Pseudomonadota; Gammaproteobacteria. The record is from RNAcentral.